GGGUGCGAUCAUACUCGUACUAAUGCACUAGAUCCCAUAAGAACUCCGUAGUUAAACUUGCUUGGGCGAGAGUAGUACUAGGAAGGGUGACCUCUUGGGAAGUCUUCGUGUUGCACCCC
Magnolia sinica is the source of this 119-nucleotide ribosomal RNA. The record is from RefSeq and is a predicted model, not a curated record. NCBI's taxonomy places the organism in Eukaryota, Viridiplantae, Streptophyta, Magnoliopsida, Magnoliales, Magnoliaceae.